Long non-coding RNA from Aethalodelphis obliquidens (Pacific white-sided dolphin), 404 nucleotides. RefSeq lists it as uncharacterized. NCBI's taxonomy places the organism in Eukaryota, Metazoa, Chordata, Mammalia, Artiodactyla, Delphinidae. The record is from RefSeq and is a predicted model, not a curated record. The transcript is spliced from 2 exons.
UGGACGGAUCUCGGGGGAUUCCAGAUCACCUGGAGGAAAGAAAAGCACCAGAAUCCCAUUACAUGUUACCUUAGAGGUAAACCAACAAGUUGGCCAAAUGACUGGGUUAUAACCAACAUGGCCAACUUGCACUGAGCAUUUACUCCAUGCCAGGCUGAAACAUGAAUGUGGCAGUGACCCAGCUUUGACAAUUCAGUAGGGGUAACAUCCUGGAGAGUGCCAGAGCAACAAGAUGGAAAGAACCUGGAUUAUUGAAUAACUUUAUGGAAUAUAGUGACUUCCCUGCUCUGAACCACCUUCUAUCUCUGACUGUGACAUCAGAGAGAAAUAUACUCCUGCUUUAUUUGAGUCACUGUAUUUUGAGGUUACUUAGCCUACAUCCUAAUACAUCUUCUUUUAGAUUG